Molecule: transfer RNA, 93 nt
Filed under: Leifsonia xyli subsp. xyli str. CTCB07
Lineage: Bacteria; Bacillati; Actinomycetota; Actinomycetes; Micrococcales; Microbacteriaceae
Description: tRNA-Ser
Rfam family: tRNA
About the family: Transfer RNA (tRNA) molecules are approximately 80 nucleotides in length. Their secondary structure includes four short double-helical elements and three loops (D, anti-codon, and T loops). Further hydrogen bonds mediate the characteristic L-shaped molecular structure. tRNAs have two regions of fundamental functional importance: the anti-codon, which is responsible for specific mRNA codon recognition, and the 3' end, to which the tRNAs corresponding amino acid is attached (by aminoacyl-tRNA synthetases). tRNAs cope with the degeneracy of the genetic code in two manners: having more than one tRNA (with a specific anti-codon) for a particular amino acid; and 'wobble' base-pairing, i.e. permitting non-standard base-pairing at the 3rd anti-codon position.
Source: RNAcentral
GGUACCGUGUCCGAGCGGCCGAAGGUGCAACUCUCGAAAAGUUGUGUGGGUGAGAGCCCACCGUGGGUUCAAAUCCCACCGGUACCGCCAGUG